AUUGAACGCUGGCGGCAGGCCUAACACAUGCAAGUCGAGCGGAUGAAGGGAGCUUGCUCCUGGAUUCAGCGGCGGACGGGUGAGUAAUGCCUAGGAAUCUGCCUGGUAGUGGGGGAUAACGUCCGGAAACGGGCGCUAAUACCGCAUACGUCCUGAGGGAGAAAGUGGGGGAUCUUCGGACCUCACGCUAUCAGAUGAGCCUAGGUCGGAUUAGCUAGUUGGUGGGGUAAAGGCCUACCAAGGCGACGAUCCGUAACUGGUCUGAGAGGAUGAUCAGUCACACUGGAACUGCGACACGGUCCAGACUCCUACGGGAGGCAGCAGUGGGGAAUAUUGGACAAUGGGCGAACGCCUGAUCCAGCCAUGCCGCGUGUGUGAAGAAGGUCUUCGGAUUGUAAAGCACUUUAAGUUGGGAGGAAGGGCAGUAAGUUAAUACCUUGCUGUUUUGACGUUACCAACAGAAUAAGCACCGGCUAACUUCGUG
RNAcentral lists this ribosomal RNA (484 nucleotides) under uncultured bacterium. Its description in RNAcentral is "partial 16S ribosomal RNA". It matches the Rfam family "Bacterial small subunit ribosomal RNA", at positions 30 to 507 of the family's 1533-position model. The record is from RNAcentral.